RNAcentral lists this ribosomal RNA (17 nucleotides) under Avicennia germinans (black mangrove). RNAcentral describes it as "partial 23S ribosomal RNA". Lineage: Eukaryota; Viridiplantae; Streptophyta; Magnoliopsida; Lamiales; Acanthaceae. RNAcentral also lists the same sequence under 3 other names. The record is from RNAcentral.
UCGACCGCGACCCCAGG